GAUGAACGCUGGCGGCGUGCCUAAUACAUGCAAGUCGAGCGAAAAGACGAGGCUUUUGCUCCUCUGACGUUUGCCGCGCACGUGUGUGUAACACGUGGAUAACCCCCUUAUAAUUCUGGUAUCACUUCGGGACUCCGGAGCUAACACCGGAUAAUAUCUUGAACCGUAUGGUUCAAUAGUGAAAGACGGCUUUGCUGUCACUUAUAGAUGGAUCCGCGCGGCAUUAGCUAGUUGGUAAGGUAACGGCUUACCAAGGCUACGAUGCGUAGCCGAGGUGAGAGAGUGAUAGGCCACACGGGAACGGGGACACGGUCAAGAGUACUAAGGGAGGCAGCAGUAGGGAAUCUGAGGCAAUGGGCGAAAGCCUGACGGAGUAAGGCCGCGUGAGUGAUGAAGGCCUGGGGAGCGUAAAACUCGGUUAUUAGGGAAGAACAGAUGUGUAAGGAAAUGUGCAGGGCGUGACGGUAACGGAUCAGAAAGCAACGGCUAACUACGUG
RNAcentral lists this ribosomal RNA (497 nucleotides) under uncultured bacterium. RNAcentral describes it as "partial 16S ribosomal RNA". It matches the Rfam family "Bacterial small subunit ribosomal RNA", at positions 28 to 507 of the family's 1533-position model. The record is from RNAcentral.